UUGACCUCGAAUCAGGUGGGACUACCUGCUGAACUUAAGCAUAUCAUAGCGAGAAA
This 56-nucleotide ribosomal RNA is filed under the name uncultured Clavulinaceae. Its description in RNAcentral is "partial 28S ribosomal RNA". The record is from RNAcentral. Lineage: Eukaryota; Fungi; Basidiomycota; Agaricomycetes; Cantharellales; Hydnaceae.